Molecule: non-coding RNA, 112 nt
Organism: Nylanderia fulva
Lineage: Eukaryota; Metazoa; Arthropoda; Insecta; Hymenoptera; Formicidae
Source: RefSeq, a predicted model, not a curated record
AUUAAAUCCAGAGGCGAUCUAUUCGUGUGCUGGCGACAGUUACUUAUCAGUGAGAAGACAAAGCAAGACGUAAAAAACUUGUCGGAGAUGUGUCAAAUUGUAAGUGAUACAG